This 349-nucleotide unclassified non-coding RNA is filed under the name soil metagenome. RNAcentral describes it as "partial contains 5.8S ribosomal RNA, internal transcribed spacer 2, and large subunit ribosomal RNA". The stretch from base 1 to 120 matches the Rfam family "5.8S ribosomal RNA", at positions 35 to 154 of the family's 154-position model. The record is from RNAcentral.
GAUGAAGAACGUAGCGAAAUGCGAUAAGUAAUGUGAAUUGCAGAAUUCAGUGAAUCAUCGAGUCUUUGAACGCACAAUGCGCCCCCUGGUAUUCCGGGGGGCAUGCCUGUCCGAGCGUCAUUGCUGCCCUCAAGCACGGCUUGUGUGUUGGGCCUCCGCCCCCCGGCUCCCGGGGGGCGGGCCCGAAAGGCAGCGGCGGCACCGCGUCCGGUCCUCGAGCGUAUGGGGCUUCGUCACCCGCUCCGUAGGCCCGGCCGGCGCCCGCCGGCGACCCCCCUCAAUCUUUCCAGGUUGACCUCGGAUCAGGUAGGGAUACCCGCUGAACUUAAGCAUAUCAAUAAGCGGAGGA